CACCGUCAAUUCAUUUAAGUUUCACCGUUGCCGGCGUACUCCCCAGGUGGGAUACUUAACGCUUUCGCUGUACCACCCAGGCCCCAUUCGGCCCGGACAGUCAGUAUCCAUCGUUUACUGCGUGGACUACCAGGGUAUCUAAUCCUGUUCGAUACCCACGCUUUCGUGCAUGAGCGUCAGUAGGGCGCCGGUGUGCUGCCUUCGCAAUCGGAGUUCUGCGUGAUAUCUAUGCAUUUCACCGCUACACCACGCAUUCCGCACACUUCUCGCCCACUCAAGAAAACCAGUUUCAACGGCCGGACGGGGUUGAGCCCCGAAUUUUUACCGCUGACUUGGCUUCCCGCCUGCGCACCCUUUAAACCCAAUAAAUCCGGAUAACGCUCGCAUCCUCCGUAUUACC
RNAcentral lists this unclassified non-coding RNA (400 nucleotides) under uncultured fungus. RNAcentral describes it as "sequence contains ITS1". Lineage: Eukaryota; Fungi. The record is from RNAcentral.